Molecule: long non-coding RNA, 544 nt
Filed under: Heterocephalus glaber (naked mole-rat)
Lineage: Eukaryota; Metazoa; Chordata; Mammalia; Rodentia; Bathyergidae
Description: lncRNA (ENSHGLG00100026091.2)
Source: RNAcentral
CCUUGCUAACAGGCAUCACAAUCUAGUAACAGCCAUCUCCCAAGCUCACUUGGUCAGAGACUGCCAACAGCAAACCUGCUGAGCUGCUUCUCCUCUUCAAGAGGCUGCAGCCUCAGGACCCCAGGCAGAGAAAGUAUCUAUGAAAGAUUAAGAAGAUGGCUGAGUCCAUCCAGACACCACAGGCCAUGCUGCAGCAGCUGCAUGACUGUCACAGACACACCAGGGACAGUCUCCCCGGGAGUGACCACCAGUGACCUACCAAAAUCAAGAACAUCCUCAAGUGCCUUGUCCAGGAGAAGAGAAAUCCAUCCACCACAGAGCUGCAGGCUGCUGGAGAAAGCUGUAUUAUGCAAAUGGCCACAUUUUUCAGGCCAAAUGCUUCAGCAGGAAAGGAAUUUAUAUAUCCGAAAACCAAUUUCUCUGAACUUUGUCUCCAAGUUCCAUGUCCUCUGUCAAUGACAUCAUGCUACAGCCAGACCACAAACCAGGAACUUACAGUUCAUCCUUAAUCCUCCUCCCCCACCAACCCCCAAUCAAUCACCAC